AAAUCCCAUAAAGUUGUUCUCAGUUCGGAUUGUAGUCUGCAACUCGACUACAUGAAGCUGGAAUCGCUAGUAAUCGUAGAUCAGCAUGCUACGGUGAAUACGUUCCCGGGUCUUGUACACACCGCCCGUCACACCACGAGAGUUUGUAACACCCGAAGCCGGUGGAGUAACCUUUUAGGAGCUAGCCGUCGAAGGUGGGACAAAUGAUUGGGGUGAAGUCGUAACAAGGUAGCCGUAUCGGAAGGUGCGGCUGGAUCA
RNAcentral lists this ribosomal RNA (258 nucleotides) under Staphylococcus aureus. Its description in RNAcentral is "partial 16S ribosomal RNA". It matches the Rfam family "Bacterial small subunit ribosomal RNA", at positions 1269 to 1525 of the family's 1533-position model. Lineage: Bacteria; Bacillati; Bacillota; Bacilli; Caryophanales; Staphylococcaceae. The record is from RNAcentral.